This 206-nucleotide ribosomal RNA is filed under the name uncultured bacterium. RNAcentral describes it as "partial 16S ribosomal RNA". It matches the Rfam family "Bacterial small subunit ribosomal RNA", at positions 568 to 774 of the family's 1533-position model. The record is from RNAcentral.
UGCGUAGGUGGUCUUGUAAGUCAGAAGUGAAAGGCUACGGCUUAACCGUAGUAAGCUUUUGAAACUGCAGGACUUGAGUGCAGGAGAGGAAAGUGGAAUUCCUAGUGUAGCGGUGAAAUGCGUAGAUAUUAGGAGGAACACCAGUGGCAAAGGCGACUUUCUGGACUGUUACUGACACUGAGGCACGAAAGCGUGGGGAGCGAACA